This 582-nucleotide ribosomal RNA is filed under the name uncultured bacterium. RNAcentral's name for it is "bacterial SSU rRNA". It matches the Rfam family "Bacterial small subunit ribosomal RNA", at positions 329 to 916 of the family's 1533-position model. The record is from RNAcentral.
UCUAGAGAUCCUACGGGAGGCAGCAGUGGGGAAUAUUGGACAAUGGGCGCAAGCCUGAUCCAGCCAUGCCGCGUGGGUGAAGAAGGUCUUCGGAUUGUAAACCCCUUUCGGGAGGGAAGAUGGAGCGAGCAAUCGUUCGGACGGUACCUCCAGAAGCAGCCACGGCCAACUUCGUGCCAGCAGCCGCGGUAAUACGAAGGUGGCAAGCGUUGUUCGGAUUCACUGGGCGUACAGGGUGUGUAGGCGGUUUGGUAAGCCUUCUGUUAAAGCUUCGGGCCCAACCCGGAAAGCGCAGAGGGUACUGCCAGGCUAGAGGGUGGGAGAGGAGCGCGGAAUUCCCGGUGUAGCGGUGAAAUGCGUAGAGAUCGGGAGGAAGGCCGGUGGCGAAGGCGGCGCUCUGGAACAUACCUGACGCUGAGACACGAAAGCGUGGGGAGCAAACAGGAUUAGAUACCCCGGUAGUCCACGCCCUAAACUAUGGAUACUAAGUGUCGGCGGGUUACCGCCGGUGCCGCAGCUAACGCAUUAAGUAUCCCGCCUGGGAAGUACGGCCGCAAGGUUGAAACUCAAAGGAAUUGACGG